GCGAGGGUGACCGGACGUGGAAAGGAAGCGUGAAGCGAAACUGCGAGCCGAUGGACAAGAACCGGAUAUAUCCGCUGCGCGCGCUGGCGCAGGCGGUGCAGCGCUU
Molecule: non-coding RNA, 106 nt
Organism: Candidatus Burkholderia pumila
Lineage: Bacteria; Pseudomonadati; Pseudomonadota; Betaproteobacteria; Burkholderiales; Burkholderiaceae
Source: Rfam